UUGGAUUCGCUAGUAAUCGCGCAUCAGCCAUGGCGCGGUGAAUACGUUCCCGGGCCUUGUACACACCGCCCGUCAAGCCAUGGGAGCCGGGGGCGCCUGAAGUCCGGGACCGCGAGGACCGGCCUAGGGCGAAACUGGUAACUGGGGCUAAGUCGUAACAAGGUAGC
Molecule: ribosomal RNA, 167 nt
Filed under: uncultured bacterium
Lineage: Bacteria
Description: partial 16S ribosomal RNA
Rfam family: Bacterial small subunit ribosomal RNA
Source: RNAcentral